CGCGGCCUAUCAGCUUGUUGGUGGGGUAAUGGCCAACCAAGGCGACGACGGGUAGCCGGCCUGAGAGGGUGACCGGCCACACUGGGACUGAGACACGGCCCAGACUCCUACGGGAGGCAGCAGUGGGGAAUAUUGCACAAUGGGCGAAAGCCUGAUGCAGCGACGCCGCGUGCGGGAUGACGGCCUUCGGGUUGUAAACCGCUUUCAGCUCUGACGAAGCGCAAGUGACGGUAGGAGCAGAAGAAGCACCGGCUAACUACGUGCCAGCAGCCGCGGUAAUACGUAGGGUGCGAGCGUUGUCCGGAAUUAUUGGGCGUAAAGAGCUUGUAGGCGGCUUGUCGCGUCUGCUGUGAAAGCCCGGGGCUUAACCCUGGGUCUGCAGUGGGUACGGGCAGGCUAGAGUGUGGUAGGGGAGACCGGAAUUCCUGGUGUAGCGGUGGAAUGCGCAGAUAUCAGGAGGAACACCGAUGGCGAAGGCAGGUCUCUGGGCCAUUUCUGACGCUGAGAAGCGAAAGCGUGGGGAGCGAACAGGAUUAGAUACCCUGGUAGUCACGCCGUAAACGUUGGGCGCUAGGUGUGGGUCCCAUUCCACGGGGUCCGUGCCGCAGCUAACGCAUUAAGCGCCCCGCCUGGGGAGUACGG
This 642-nucleotide ribosomal RNA is filed under the name uncultured bacterium. Its description in RNAcentral is "bacterial SSU rRNA". It matches the Rfam family "Bacterial small subunit ribosomal RNA", at positions 232 to 885 of the family's 1533-position model. The record is from RNAcentral.